CACCCAUCCGGUACCAUUCUCUUCUUUCUUUUCUUCUACCCUUGAUGAAAUCAACGCCGCCUCUGUUCCUUUCUUCCUCAAGUCUGAAUUCUCCCCCACCAAAGAACCACUAAACUCCUCCAUAAAUACACAACAUUGAUCCAAUUACUAUUCGGCCAGUGAAGAGACUUUGGGCAUUAAUUUGAGUGUUAGAGAUUGGUGCUGCAAGGAAGGAGGAGUAGGGUAUUCAUCAGAUCAAGGUGACACUAUUGAUUCCAUUGAGAUUCACAGGCAACUAAGUAGUCAGCCGGUAUCAGAUUCAGAUCAUUCAAUUUAUCUUGUUGGUAGGCCUCCUUUGGUUGGUGGCUCGAUUGGUGUCUUUUAUUUGAUUCUAGUUAUCUGCAGCUAUAGGGAGUCUUAGAAUGAUUUGGAUUUAAGAUUGUUAUUUAUUGUUUUAUUGUAAAAGUUGCACUUGAGUGCUAAAAUUGAAAAUUUCCUUUUAAUGAAAGUAUGAAAAUGGAGAUCAUUAUUUGACAUGA
Molecule: long non-coding RNA, 518 nt
Organism: Lotus japonicus
Lineage: Eukaryota; Viridiplantae; Streptophyta; Magnoliopsida; Fabales; Fabaceae
Exons: 2
Source: RefSeq, a predicted model, not a curated record